UUGACAAGGAAAGGCCAUGUUAUGUUCACCCUGGGUUAAGUUUUAAGUGUAUCUUAUUUAAUUUUUUUCAAUAUGAGUCAUCUCCAGAUACUGUGAUGAUUUCCAAAUAACCAGAAUCUAGAUGACUAGAAAUUUACUCUAGCUGGCUUUAGACAGGAAGCGUGAGGACAGAAUCCAGCUGCUUCCACUCCAGGGUAGGUCUGAAGCCAACCGUCCUCGGUUUCCUGGCCUGUGGCAUCAGUCUGGUUGGAUUACACACAAAGCCCUGCAGAUCUGCUGCUUUUCCUGAUUCUCCUGUCCUGAGUGAGUGCAAGGGGCUCCCCUGUCGCCGAUGUGUUCUUUGAAGCAGAUGCUGUGCCUGAUACCUGCUGGAGAGUCCCACCGCCUUGAGCUUCUGGGUCGAGAAAGGCCAAGUUGCACACUACUGAGAGACUGCCAUGCACCCCCUGGAGGCCUCAGAACAUUCGACAUGCUCCAGUCAUGGCCACGGCAGUGACUGCUGAUUGCCUAACCCCACAUGUGUUCUCCCCCUUCCCUGAUAAUCAAGCCCCUGAUUUUCAGCUGGGCACAAAAUAAUUCUUCCUAGGACAACUCCACGUGUGUUAUCGCCCUUGCAGCUGGGGGUGGCCACCACUGGGGAGAGGCAGGGUGAAGAGGUGGAAGGAGCCUGAGUUAGCAGGGAUGAGCAGUGGCCAGGUAACCCCAGACCCAUUAUCCUCUGGAUUUCUUUUAUGUGAAACAAUAAAAUGUCUUGUAU
This 757-nucleotide long non-coding RNA is filed under the name Pan troglodytes (chimpanzee). Its description in RNAcentral is "lincRNA". The record is from RNAcentral. Lineage: Eukaryota; Metazoa; Chordata; Mammalia; Primates; Hominidae.